AGCUGAACAUGAGACACUUAUGAUACAUGACAGAGGUUAACACUGCUGUGGAUUAGCUGUGUGCAUGAUACUGUGAUCAGACAGAGGAGAGGAGUGUGUUGAGAGCAGAGAAAUAAUUUCCAUAGAGAGGAGGCUUUGCAUCGUCAGCUGAUCCUCCAGUGAACUGAGAAGGUUUAUAGUCCUGUGAGUUCAACACUGCAGGACUCAGAUCUGUCAGUCAACACAGCAGAAACCACAACCACCAUGACUCUCAUCACCAUCCUCAUCUGGACGCUGGCCUGCUGCUGUUUUACAGGAUGCAGCGGUCAGUUGACUGUGACUCAGCCUCCAGUAAAGACAUCUACUCCAGGAUCCACUGUCACUAUCAGCUGUAAAACAAACCAAGCUGUUUUCACAUACAGUAAUCAAGAUUAUUUGCACUGGUAUCAACAGAAAUCUGGACAGCCUCCAAAACUCCUGAUAAAAUAUGUGAGCACACGUGAAUCAGGAACACCAGCUCGGUUUAGUGGCAGUGGAAGCAGCUCUGACUUCACUUUGACCAUCAGUGGAGUUCAGGCUGAAGAUGCAGCAGUUUAUUACUGUCAAGCCUUCACUGGUGUGUUCACACAGUGAUUUGUCAUCGUACAAAAACCUCCCUCAGUCAGACUGCAGAGACACUGAGCUGUUACAGCAGGAACCAUCUGCAGCUGCUGAAGAGGAAGAGACUCUGACACAGACCACUGAACACAGAGCUGACAGUAACCUCACCAAGCACAAACUACACAUUCAUACUAAUAAGUAAAACAAUAGAUAAUCUUUGUAAAAUGGUAUUUGUUAUAUGUUCUAAGAAUAUUACAAUAACAUUUUGAUGUAAUUAUCAAUUUAAAAAAUAAUUAUUUUAAUAUUCACAUGAUUUAUCCAAUGCUGUAUCAAGUGAAAUUAUGAGCCCACCCUGGUACACACUAUCUUUCAUGUUUUUUUACUUGUGUUUAGCUGAUGUAUCACUAACUCCUGUCUUUACUGAUCCUGCCUCCCAGGUUUCCUCUCACCUGAUCUUCACCCUCACCCCUAUCUCCACACCUGCCUCUCAUUCCCCUCAUCAGUCACUCAUUCAUAUACCGGUCCAGCUCCACUUGCUCUCUGCCAGAUUGUCCAAUGUGUUAGUUCUUGCUUUCCAGUGAUUCCCUCUCUGACUCUACCUGCCUGACUACUGGUUUGAAGAUUAUUUAGUUCUUUUGUCUGCCUAAUCACUUGUUUUUUGGAGUUGAAUAAAGAUUCUUACUGACUCUGAA
Dicentrarchus labrax (European seabass) is the source of this 1271-nucleotide long non-coding RNA. RefSeq lists it as uncharacterized. Lineage: Eukaryota; Metazoa; Chordata; Actinopteri; Moronidae. The transcript has 3 exons. The record is from RefSeq and is a predicted model, not a curated record.